CCUACGGGAGGCAGCAGUGGGGAAUAUUGCACAAUGGGGGAAACCCUGAUGCAGCGACGCCGCGUGAGUGAAGAAGUAUCUCGGUACGUAAAGCUCUAUCAGCAGGGAAGAAAAUGACGGUACCUGACUAAGAAGCCCCGGCUAACUACGUGCCAGCAGCCGCGGUAAUACGUAGGGGGCAAGCUUUAUCCGGAUUUACUGGGUGUAAAGGGAGCGUAGACGGCAGCACAAGUCUGGAGUGAAAUCCCGGGGCUUAACCCCGGAACUGCUUUGGAAACUGUGCGGCUGGAGUGCAGGAGGGGUAAGCGAAAUUCCUGGGGAAGCGGUGAAAUGGGUAGAUAAUAGGAGGAACACCGGGGGGGAGGGCGGCUUACUGGACUGUAACUGACGUUGAGGCUCGAAAGCGUGGGGAGCAAACAGGAUUAGAUACCCUUGUAGUC
This 440-nucleotide ribosomal RNA is filed under the name uncultured bacterium. RNAcentral's name for it is "partial 16S ribosomal RNA". It matches the Rfam family "Bacterial small subunit ribosomal RNA", at positions 338 to 795 of the family's 1533-position model. The record is from RNAcentral.